RNAcentral lists this transfer RNA (62 nucleotides) under Gastrothylax crumenifer. RNAcentral's name for it is "tRNA-Gln". The record is from RNAcentral. Lineage: Eukaryota; Metazoa; Platyhelminthes; Trematoda; Plagiorchiida; Gastrothylacidae.
UAAUGUGGUGUAGGUUGCAUGAUAUGUUUUGGUCAUAGUGGAGGUUUGUUGCUCAUUACAUG